This 24-nucleotide ribosomal RNA is filed under the name Pleurotus eryngii. Its description in RNAcentral is "partial 18S ribosomal RNA". Lineage: Eukaryota; Fungi; Basidiomycota; Agaricomycetes; Agaricales; Pleurotaceae. The record is from RNAcentral.
UUCCCGUAGGGGGCUCGGAAGGAU